This 46-nucleotide transfer RNA is filed under the name Allochrocebus solatus (sun-tailed monkey). Its description in RNAcentral is "partial tRNA-His". Lineage: Eukaryota; Metazoa; Chordata; Mammalia; Primates; Cercopithecidae. The record is from RNAcentral.
CUAGACUGUGAAUCUGACCAUAGAAGCUCACCACUUCUUAUUUACC